This is a long non-coding RNA of Macaca mulatta (Rhesus monkey), 883 nucleotides long. RefSeq lists it as uncharacterized. The record is from RefSeq and is a predicted model, not a curated record. NCBI's taxonomy places the organism in Eukaryota, Metazoa, Chordata, Mammalia, Primates, Cercopithecidae.
CUCCAGCUUAGGCAACAUAGUGAGACUCCAUCUCAAAAAAUAAAAUAAAUAAAUAACAUUAUGCUUUUAAAAUGGAGACAUAUAAAAUUGUGAGUGCUUUGCAGAGAGAAUUACUUAUCACCUCUAACAAAACUGCUAUUACAAUUUUAGUGAAUUUUUCCUCUAGUUGUUAUUUAAAGGAUACUUAUAUAUAGUUUGAAAAUCAGAGUAGAUGUUCCAUAUUUCCUUUAUGUUUUAUUUUGCUGUUAUUUGCCUAGCAUAUUCAGGGUACCAAAUUAAGUAUUGAUUGAUGGUAAUAGUGAUAACAUUAAGAUGUGGAGAUCAGGUUAAAGACAGAUAUGCACCAUGAAUCUAUAAUUGAAUAAGUCAGAAGGAAAUUUAAUUAGCCUUUUUCCUGUGUCCAUAGCAGUGCUUUAAUAAGAACAACAGAAAAGUCUUUUUUUUCCUUUAAAUUGCUAAUCCAGGAUGUUCUCGAUGUUUUUAUGGAAGUCAGCUAACUAAAUACCUUGAGAGAAUAGCAAUACCAUCAAAUUAUAUCUGUCUGUGACAUUUUCUCUAGGAUGGGACUAACAAAUUUGAUCUAUUUUUAAAAUAUGUAUUAACUCACACUUAUUUGCAUUACAACAAGGUUUUUGUCUUCUUAGCUCUUCUCUUUUUCAGGAAAUUACUCCAGGAUUUGAAUCAUCACAAGAGAUUAACCAGAGGGUUUUAUAUACUUGGGCUGUGGCAGCAGACUAAUUACACCACAGCACUAGUUCUAGAAGCUAGAAGUCCAAGAUCAAGAUGUUAGCAUGGUUGGUUUCUCCUAAGGACCAUGAAGGAAGGAUCUGUUCCAGGCCUCCGUCUUUGACUUGAAGAUAAAUGUCUUCUUCCUGUGUCUUCA